GACGAACGCUGGCGGCGUGCUUAACACAUGCAAGUCGAACGAACAGGCCCUGCUCUUGUGGCUUGCUCGAGUGGCGAACGCGGGUGUAACACGCGAGUAAACUGUCCCUGUAUGUGGGGUAACUCCAGGAAAAUCGGGCGAUUACCCCGUAUGAGCUCCUGCUCCACGGGGGGGGUUGGAAAGAGUCGGUGGUUGGGGAUGGACUGGCUGGUUAUCAGCUGGUUUGGCGGGUAGUGGCGUACGAAGGCUGUGACGGGUAGCCGGCCUGAGAGGGUGACCGGGCACAUUGGGCCUGCGGUACGGCGCAGACGCGUACGGGCGGCAGUAGGGGGGAAUAUUGCAGAAUGGGCGGACGCCAGAGGCAGAAACGCCGCGUGCGGGAUGACGGCCUAUGGGUUGUAAACAGAUGUCGCCGGUGCCGAAGCGUGAGUGACGGUACUGGGUAAAGAAGCAACGGCUAACUACGUG
RNAcentral lists this ribosomal RNA (468 nucleotides) under uncultured bacterium. RNAcentral describes it as "partial 16S ribosomal RNA". It matches the Rfam family "Bacterial small subunit ribosomal RNA", at positions 28 to 507 of the family's 1533-position model. The record is from RNAcentral.